Long non-coding RNA from Saccostrea cuccullata (small rock oyster), 241 nucleotides. RefSeq lists it as uncharacterized. Lineage: Eukaryota; Metazoa; Mollusca; Bivalvia; Ostreida; Ostreidae. The record is from RefSeq and is a predicted model, not a curated record. The transcript is spliced from 3 exons.
GUCUGGCGGCUAAAUCUGCUCGUACAUUGACCAGUGCUAUAAAUAGGUCUGAGGAGCGUAGGGAACUUCCCACCAUACCACAACCUACGCACCAGAUGGAGUGGUUGGCUAGGGUCAACUUUAAGCACAGAGCAGUGCGCCGUGACACGUGUACCAAAACAGAGACAACACAAAGACUUAAGUCUCCAAGAGUCACGACCUGCACUCCUCAUUUUACGUCUACUAAAGAGGAAUCUGUUUU